RNAcentral lists this long non-coding RNA (2430 nucleotides) under Triticum aestivum (bread wheat). RNAcentral's name for it is "long non-coding RNA (TAES_LNC025716)". The record is from RNAcentral. Lineage: Eukaryota; Viridiplantae; Streptophyta; Magnoliopsida; Poales; Poaceae.
GAUUUAGCGAGACUAUGGCAGCAUCGUUAACUUCUCAUUUGUGGUGUGUGACAACCUCAUGCAAUUGUAGUAACAAAUAUCAGAGAAUGAUAUCCGAUGUGAACAGACAUGAUUGAUCAUCUGGCAAUGAUACACGAAAAUUGAUAACAGAAACACACCAACAGACAACUAAAUCACCUGCGGCCACAAAAUUCUGCAUGAUCAAUUAUAUGUGGUUCUUUUAGCUCCAAUCUGAGAACAAUUGGCUCUAACAAAUGCAGUAGCUCCUGCCUAAGAAUGAGAUCAAGGUGGGAGGUUGUAAGCUCAAUCAAAUAACAGAAGACAGACCCUCGGGGACAAUAAGGCAAUGCCAAAUAUAACUGAAAAAUGAAAAGAUCCAAGCUCACAACACCCGGGAUUAACUGGUAGCUUGACUACCAACCGACUUCACUUGAAAUGUGCUCUGGGUACAUACUGCCUAGCCUGAAAAUUUCUUUCUUUCCAGUUGUUCCCUCAAGGAGGCCUAAAAAUGCAUCCAGUGAAAAAUGAGGCCUAAAAAUGCUAGUCAGGUCAGUCCACUAUGAAACAAAUAUUGGCAUCACCAUCUCAAAAUUACAAAUACGCACACAUGCAUUUCCCUCUGGAUCAAAGCACAAACCUUGCAAAAUAAAAAUUAAUCGUAAAACCAUGAAGAUUGAGAGGUAAAACUAUACACUGAUUAAUACACACGCCACACAUACCUUCUACUAUGCAUCGAUUUGACAAAAUCAAAGUAGUUUUAACUACAGUAGAUAGACGCCAAUCCUCUUUAAAGAAAACUGCAAAAAACUUGUUCAAGCAUGAAAGAGCAAGUACAUAUACAAAUUUAAGAACUUUCAAGCAUGAACUUUAUCGCCAGUCGGUAGAUCUAGAGGACUAAGAUGGGUAGAAUCAGGCCAUGUAGGUACUACAAUUCUAUAAUGAAAAGCAUUUGCAUGUUAAAUAAUCAUUAUGCAUCACAUCUAAUAAGAUAUCAAAUGUAGUAAAUGUUGACCCCAGCAUUAGUUUAAUCUCCAGAAUCUUCAGUUAUAUAAUACAACACAAAUAUACUACUUGCGACAAUAUGUUACCUUCUGAUUCGCUACAUCCAUAAAUAGAUCUUGAAAUCCUUUCUUGAACAUGCAGGUAAAUUCAUAUAGCCCUGUGGUAAAAAUACUAAUUUGAUAGUGAGCAUAAUAAGAGGACAGGAGACGGGAACAACAAUUCGAAGCAUUGCAUCAGAAAUUCCUUCAUGCAUCUCGAGUUCAUCACUUAUACACGCAGAAAUUCCAAAUGAGAGUGUUAGCUGAUGUUUUCUCAAAAAAGAAUCUGUCCCAACCAAAUAAAAAUUGUGAGAAGCAUUAGAAUGUUGUGGAAUAUAGUAGGUGGAGCCUUCAAUUUUUCAGGUAGAUUAGCGAGAAGUUCUGACCCCAAGGCUUCGUACUGGUUGAAGAAGAGUCCAGGAGGUGAGUGCGACACAACAGGGCUGGGUUUGGGAAGUGGCGAUGCGACGGUUCGCAGAUUCCAACCAUCGAUUGCUCAAGGUUCAUAUGACGAAAAAUUCGUACAUCACACCAUCACCAAGAAACGUGUAGCACACAAUAGUAGGGACGGGAGCAACAACCCAGCAAUAUUUUUGUUCGCAAUUCUUGUAUAGUAUGUAUGCAUCGAUUAUUGCAAGAACAUGAGAAUGCAGUGUAGCUUGACUUUAGCUGAUCCCAUGCUUCAUAGUAGAAAAUUACUCAAGAGGGAACACAUCUUGCAAGCAUAAGAAAAAUUAGAAAGAAGUUUACCAAACAAGCAAACCGUUUUGUGAAAAGAACUUCAUACCUAACAUGAAACUGUUAGAAAUGAACUAAAAUAAUAUGUGCAAUAGAACUACAUACCUAGUGAAUAAUGGAAAUUUAAUGAAAAAAAUUAUCCACAAUAUUUAGGUGAUAGCUGCAGCACAAGCAACAAAUGCAAUUAAUAAAAGGCCAUUUCCGAGACACUUACACCAUCUGGAUGUAUUUCGCUGAGUCUGGUCAUACUCUCCCUUUCCUUCCAUAAUAGUUCUGCAGUUUCAACUAAGUACUGCCAAAUAAUGGUAUCAAUGACAAAGUCUGAAUCAGAGAAGUAUUAAAGAGAGUGAUUAAAAGGAGGACAGGAGGGGUAUAGUAUUUUUACACAAAACAAACUGAAUAUGUGUAGAAAAACUGAAUCUAGUUAGGGGGGGGGGGUGAUUCCUGAAUGAAGAAAUCAAGUGACCACACCUUGGCCGUUGACCCGAUCAGCCCUGGCGAUUACAAAGGAGGAGUGGAGAGUCAACGCACCCGGCCUCCUCCACGAACGCGACACGCAUCCCACAUGGUCGUGUCUCUCGCUAAAUCCAGAUCUAGUGAUGGUGCAACAACUCAACAGAGACGGGGCUCAACAGCCGGCACAACAACGGGG